Molecule: ribosomal RNA, 557 nt
Filed under: Melosira sp. 2BOF
Lineage: Eukaryota; Bacillariophyta; Melosirophyceae; Melosirales; Melosiraceae
Description: eukaryotic LSU rRNA
Rfam family: Eukaryotic large subunit ribosomal RNA
Source: RNAcentral
AUGCAAAGCCGCGCGAGAGCGCUGUCAAAGAGUACCUGAAAUUGCUGAAAAGGAAGCAAAGGAAACCAGUGUUAGCCAACCCGCAUUUCCUCAUCUGCUUGCGGUUGAGGCGCUGCGGCUGGUGUUGUCCUCGUUGGCGGUUGGCAGCGGAAGAGUCUUCGGAUUGGCGCUGCGGGCUGCUGAUGUGGACGAAAUGGUUUUCUUUUUCCCGUCUUGAAACACGGACCAAGGAGUCUAACAUUUGUGCGAGUACAAGGGUGGCAAACCCUGGUGCGCAAUGAAAGUGACAGUGGCUGGAAAUUUGCACAGUCCGCCGGCCCCAAUCCCUCGGGAGAAUGGUCUGAGUGUGAGCACGUAUGUUGGGACCCGAAAGAUGGUGAACUAUGCCUGAAUAGGGCGAAGCCAGGGGAAACUCUGGUGGAGGCUCGUAGCGAUUCUGACGUGCAAAUCGAUCGUCAAAUUUGGGUAUAGGGGCGAAAGACUAAUCGAACCAUACUAGUAGCUGGUUCCCUCCGAAAUUUCCCUCAGGAUAGCUGCGAUCGAAUCCACUUUUAUCA